RNAcentral lists this ribosomal RNA (415 nucleotides) under uncultured bacterium. Its description in RNAcentral is "bacterial SSU rRNA". It matches the Rfam family "Bacterial small subunit ribosomal RNA", at positions 355 to 787 of the family's 1533-position model. The record is from RNAcentral.
UGGGGAAUAUUGCGCAAUGGGCGGAAGCCUGACGCAGCGACGCCGCGUGGGGGAUGACGGCCUUCGGGUUGUAAACCUCUUCAGCAGGGACGAAGGUGACGUGUACCUGCAGAAGAAGCGCCGGCUAACUACGUGCCAGCAGCCGCGGUAAUACGUAGGGCGCAAGCGUUGUCCGGAAUUAUUGGGCGUAAAGAGCUCGUAGGUGGCUGGUCGCGUCUGCCGUGAAAGCCCGCAGCUUAACUGCGGGUCUGCGGUGGAUACGGGCCGGCUGGAGGUAGGCAGGGGCAAGUGGAAUUCCUGGUGUAGCGGUGAAAUGCGCAGAUAUCAGGAGGAACACCGGUGGCGAAGGCGGCUUGCUGGGCCUUACCUGACGCUGAGGAGCGAAAGCGUGGGGAGCGAACAGGAUUAGAUACCC